ACGGGUGAGUAACACGUGGGUAACCUGCCUGUAAGACUGGGAUAACUCCGGGAAACCGGGGCUAAUACCGGAUGCUUGAUUGAACCGCAUGGUUCAAUCAUAAAAGGUGGCUUUUAGCUACCACUUACAGAUGGACCCGCGGCGCAUUAGCUAGUUGGUGAGGUAACGGCUCACCAAGGCGACGAUGCGUAGCCGACCUGAGAGGGUGAUCGGCCACACUGGGACUGAAACACGGCCCAGACUCCUACGGGAGGCAGCAGUAGGGAAUCUUCCGCAAUGGACGAAAGUCUGACGGAGCAACGCCGCGUGAGUGAUGAAGGUUUUCGGAUCGUAAAACUCUGUUGUUAGGGAAGAACAAGUACCGUUCGAAUAGGGCGGUACCUUGACGGUACCUAACCAGAAAGCCACGGCUAACUACGUGCCAGCAGCCGCGGUAAUACGUAGGUGGCAAGCGUUGUCCGGAAUUAUUGGGCGUAAAGCGCGCGCAGGCGGUUUCUUAAGUCUGAUGUGAAAGCCCCCGGCUCAACCGGGGAGGGUCAUUGGAAACUGGGGAACUUGAGUGCAGAAGAGGAGAGUGGAAUUCCACGUGUAGCGGUGAAAUGCGUAGAGAUGUGGAGGAACACCAGUGGCGAAGGCGACUCUCUGGUCUGUAACUGACGCUGAGGCGCGAAAGCGUGGGGAGCGAACAGGAUUAGAUACCCUGGUAGUCCA
Molecule: ribosomal RNA, 711 nt
Filed under: Bacillus licheniformis
Lineage: Bacteria; Bacillati; Bacillota; Bacilli; Caryophanales; Bacillaceae
Description: bacterial SSU rRNA
Rfam family: Bacterial small subunit ribosomal RNA
Source: RNAcentral